AUACGUAGGGGGCAAGCGUUGCCCGGAAUCACUGGGCGUGAAGGGAGCGUAGGCGGCCUAAAAAGUCUACUGUGAAAAAUCGGAGCUCAACUCUGAUCUUGCGGUAGAAACUAAUAGGCUUGAGGACGGUAGAGGAAAACGGAACAGCUGGUGUAGGGGUAAAAUCCUUAGAUAUCAGCUGGAACGCCGGUGACGAAGGUGGUUUUCUGGGCCGGACCUGACGCUGAGGCUCGAAAGCCAGGGUAGCGAACGGGAUUAGAUACCCCGGUAGUCCUGGCCCUAAACGAUGUUCACUAGGUGUGGGGUACGUAAAGUAUUCCGUGCUAAAGCUAACGCAAUAAGUGAACCGCCUGGGGAGUACGGUCGCAAGACUGAA
RNAcentral lists this ribosomal RNA (376 nucleotides) under uncultured bacterium. RNAcentral's name for it is "bacterial SSU rRNA". It matches the Rfam family "Bacterial small subunit ribosomal RNA", at positions 523 to 898 of the family's 1533-position model. The record is from RNAcentral.